GACUCCGCAGGAAGGGCGCACGGGGGAUGCCUAGGCGCUGGCGGCCGAGGAAGGACGCGGCCACGCGGCGAAACGCUCCGGGGAGGCGCUGGCGGCCUGGGAUCCGGAGGUGUCCGAAUGGGGCAACCCGCGCGGGGCACGCCCGCGCAUCCGGCGCGAGCCGGAAGGGAACCGCGGGACCUGAAACAUCUUGGUACCGCGAGGAGCAGAGAGGAUUCCCCCAGUAGCGGCGAGCGAACGGGGAGGAGCCCAAACCGGGGCGGCGGCACAGCCUGCCGGCGAUGCCGCCCCGGGGUUGGACGAGUCUGGUGGAGGGCGCGGCAGCGGCCUCGCCGGGGACGCGGCGGUCAGCCGAAGCCCGCUGGAACGGGGCGUCGCAGAGGGUGAGAGCCCCGUAGGCGACGACGGCCGCGUCCUGGUGACCAGGGAUCGUGAGUAGGCCCCGACACGCGGAAUCGGGGUUGAAGCGGGGGCGACCACGCCCCAAGGCUGAAUACCGCCGGCGACCGAUAGGGAACCAGUACCGUGAGGGAACGGUGAAAAGCACCCCGGCGAGGGGAGUGAAAGAGAGCCUGAAACCGUGCGCUCCCGGCCGGUCGGAGCCGACCAGCGCGAGCUGGCUCGGUGACGGCGUGCCUUUUGUAGAAUGAGCCGACGAGUGGUCCAGCGCGGCGGGGUUAAGCCAGGGACAGGCGGAGCCGCAGCGAAGGCGAGUCCGAAAGGGCGCCGGAGUCGUGCUGGGUCGACCCGAAACCGGGUGAUCUCACCGUGGCCAGGCCGAAGCGGGCGGAACACGCUCGUGGAGGGCCGCACCGACGUCUGUUGCAAAAGGCGCGGAUGAGCUGCGGUGAGCGGUGAAAUGCCAAGCGAACCCGGAGAUAGCUGGUUCUCCCCGAAAUGCAUUUGGGUGCAGCCCCGGGCUGGGGCUGCGCGGAGGUAGCGCGCUGGAUCGGCGAGGGGGCUUGCCGCUUACCGACCCGAACCAAACGCCGAAUGCCGCGCAGCGGGGCCCGGGCGUGAGACGGCGGGCGCCAAGGUUCGUCGUCGAGAGGGGAACAGCCCAGACCGCCGGCUAAGGUCCCCAACUGCGGGCUAAGUGGGCAAGGUGGUCGCGGCGCGCAGACAACCAGGAGGUUGGCUUAGAAGCAGCCAUCCUUGAAAGAGUGCGUAAUAGCUCACUGGUCGAACGAUCCCGGCGACGGGGUCGAUGUGCCGCGGCGCCGACGAUCCACCGGGGCUCAAGCCCGCGACCGAAGCCGCGGAUGUGAGACGGGAACGUCUUGCAUGGUAGGGGAGCGUCCCCGUCUGCGGCGAAGCCGGCCCGGGAGGGCUGGUGGAGCGGCGGGGAGUGCGAAUGUCGGCAUGAGUAGCGCGAGGGGGGCGCGAAUCCCCCCCACCGCAUGCCCGAGGGUUCCGCCGCCAUGCUGAUCAGCGGCGGGUGAGGCGGGCCUAAGCCGAAGGCGCGAGCCGUAGGCGAUGGACAACGGGUCAAGAUUCCCGUCCCGCGCUGCGCCGCUUCGCCUGUGGGCGAUGAAGCGACGGGGGGACGCGGGGGGCUAGGUCCGGGGGAGAAGUCCCUCCAACCCGGUAGGCAGUCGGGGCAGGCAAAUCCGCCCCGGCGCCACGCCGAGAGGGGAGUGUAAGGCGCGGGGGCGACCCCAAGCCGUACGGAUCGAGGCCGCACCGCCGAGAAAAGCCUCUAGCGAGGCGCAGCGCGCCCGUACCGCAAACCGACACAGGUGGGCUGGUCGAGCAGACCGAGGUGGACGAGAGAACCCCCGUCAAGGAACUCGGCAAAUUGGCCCCGUAACUUCGGGAGAAGGGGCGCCCCGGCAGCGUGACUCCCCCCUGCGGGGACGAGCGCGAGGGGGCCGCAGAGACCAGGCCCAGGCGUCUGUUUACCAAAAACACCGGUCCCUGCCAACGCGCAGCGUGUGGACGUAUAGGGGCUGAGACCUGCCCAGUGCCGGAAGGUUAAGGGGACCGCUGCGAGGCGGGAACCGAAGCCCCGGUAAACGGCGGCCGUAACUAUAACGGUCCUAAGGUAGCGAAAUUCCUUGUCGGGUAAGUUCCGACCCGCACGAAAGGUAGAACGAUCUGGGCGCUGUCUCGACGGGGGACUCGGCGAAAUUGCAGGGCCGGUGAAGAUACCGGCGACCCGCGGCAGGACAAAAAGACCCCGUGGAGCUUUACUCCAGCUUGUCGUUGGGCGAGGGCGCGGCCUGUGCAGGAUAGGCGGGAGCCUGGGAAGCCCGGUCGUCAGACCGGGUGGAGGCGGCCUUGAGAUACCGCCCUGGCGGCGCCGUCGUCCUCACGGUGGAGAGCACCGGACCGCGGCUGGCGGGGAGUUUGACUGGGGCGGUCGCCUCCCAAAGCGUAACGGAGGCGCCCAACGGUCCCCUCAGGCCGGAUGGCAACCGGCCGGAGCGCGCAAGGGCAGCAAGGGGGCUUGACUGCGAGGCCGACAAGCCGGGCAGGGGCGAAAGCCGGGCCUAGUGAUCCCACGGUGCCGGGUGGAAGGGCCGUGGCGUAACGGAUAAAAGCUACCCCGGGGAUAACAGGCUGAUCCUGCCCAAGAGUCCACAUCGACGGCAGGGUUUGGCACCUCGAUGUCGGCUCGUCGCAUCCUGGGGC
This 2634-nucleotide ribosomal RNA is filed under the name sediment metagenome. RNAcentral describes it as "bacterial LSU rRNA". It matches the Rfam family "Bacterial large subunit ribosomal RNA", at positions 1 to 2553 of the family's 2925-position model. The record is from RNAcentral.